Molecule: long non-coding RNA, 4492 nt
Organism: Spinacia oleracea (spinach)
Lineage: Eukaryota; Viridiplantae; Streptophyta; Magnoliopsida; Caryophyllales; Amaranthaceae
Exons: 4
Source: RefSeq, a predicted model, not a curated record
UCUCGGCGCACGAUACCUUAUCGUGCACCGUCGCCAUGGCAAGGAAAAAGGGUGGGAAAUCUCAAGGUAGGAAGUGUGAUGAUGCAAGGAAGAAGCCUCGUGGUCCAUCCUCUGAUUCGCAAGCUCUCAAAACUCGUUCGAUUGAUGAGGUUUUGGGGGUUAAAGCUUUGGAUUUUCCAGUAGAGAAUGAAGUGUUUACACCAAAAUCUGGGUUACAACAUCUGCAAGCGAGAUCGGAGCUGCGACAUACUGGAUGCAGUCCAUUCACAAAUCAUCUGAUCAUCUGAACUCUGGUCGUCCUAAUGUAGAGGUUGGUAUGAUUACUGUACCCAUUUUACAACAAUGCGAUGAAAUUUAUGAGAAUUUGUCUGAACAUGAGCAUGCUGAUGAUGUUAGAACACUAGAAUCCAUAGAUGAUGAUGAUGUUCCUAGCCCUGUUCAGAUUGAUAUUGAUGAUAUCCAGGAGGAAGUGGAUUUCUGGAACUCGUCCAGUAUUUGCUAUAUUGUGGGUGCUAAUCCACCAUUACAUGUGAUGGAGGGUUUUAUCAGGCGUAUCUGGAAGAAAUACAAUGUGGACAAGGUAGUCUUAGUGAAGAAGGGGAUCUAUUUGGUGCGUUUUUUUACUAUGGAUAUGCGUGAUAAGGUCAUUACUGGGCACCAUUUUUUGAUAACAAACCAAUGAUUGUCAAGCCUUGGUCUGUUGAUAUGGAUAUGGAGAAAGAGGAACUCAAAUCUGUGCCAAUCUAGAUUCAGUUGAGACUGAACUUCAAAUAUCGCGGAGAAAGGUCCUUGUUCAAGAUAGUAAGCCAAAUAGGUAAGCCUAUUAAGAGGGACACUGCUACUGUGAGUAGGGAUAAGGUGCAGUUUGCUAGGGUUUUGGUUGAUAUGCCUAUAACACAGAAGCUUCCUGAUCAAGUAGCUUUUGUUAAUGAGAAUAGUGAGAUGGUACAAGUACCUAUAUCAUAUGAAUGAAGGCCAAAUAUUUAUGAGAAGUGUAAAAUGGUGGGACAUCUAUCUGCUGACUGUAAGUAUAGCAAGACUAAGAGAGUGUGGGUGCAGAAAACUCAACCUGUACAGCAGCAAAGUGUACCAAUAGAGAAGAGUAAUCCAGAAGUGGAUCGGGAAGGGUUUCAAAGGUCUCUCAGACCAAUCAGGGUUAGAGUUUCUAAUCCAGACCCAACAACAAUUAACAAUCAGUUUCAAAUGUUGAAUGAGGUUGAGCACAGUGUCUGCAGCACAACAGAAAUGGAAGGGGAUGGUGACACAGAGGAUGUAAGCCCAGGAGGAGGGAACUCUUCCAAAUCUUAUGGAUAGAUACUUGCUUGGAAUGUUAGGGGUAUCAACCUUUCUCAAAAACAGGAUAUUGUGAAGCAGUUUUUGCACAAGUAUCAAGUGGGUUUGGUUGGUCUCCUAGAGCAUAAGGUGAAGCUUCCUAAUCUAGGUAAGCUUUACCAAAAAAUGUUUUCUGGUUGGUGUUUUACUAGUAAUGCUAGUUUCCAUGAAGGGGGUAGAAUAGUAGUGGCUUGGAAUCCUGGUAGCUUCUCUGUUAAUAUUGUUGCUGUGUCAGAUCAAUUAAUACAUUGCUAUGUUAUUCCAGUGAGUGGUUUACCUGGUUUCUUUUGUACUUUCAUUUAUGCUUUUAAUGAGAGUCAAAAGAGAGAGAGGUUGUGGAAGGAUGUGAAGGAUCUCAAUACACAGGAUGCAUGGAUCUUAUGUGGGGAUCUGAAUUGUGUAAUGAAUGUGGGGGAGAGAAUUGGAGCUCCUGUGAGGAGUAUGGAGAUGGUUGAUGUGAUUGUAUGCAAUACUGCCAGCUAGAAGAUAUUAAAAGUGUGGGGAAUUUUUAUACAUGGAACAAUAAACAAUCAGGGAGUGCAAGAGUGUUUUCAAAAAUUGACAGAUUUAUGUCAAAUUCUAAAUGGCAAGGGUUGUAUCCUACUGCUGAGGUUUGUUUUAUGACUGAGGGGUGUUUUGACCACUCUCCUGGUUUAUUGGCUGUACAUCCAAGAGAUGGGGGGGGGAGCCAUUUAAAUAUUUCACAAUGUGGAAGAAUUCCUCUCAAUUUAUUUCCACUAUUCAGUCUCACUGGAAUAGUCAGAUGCAUGGUAGUAAGAUGUUCUGUGUGGUCCAUAGGCUGAAGAAGGUGAAAAUGGCACUAAAGGAGUUGAAUAGAACAGGUUUCACAGAUGUUCAGGCAACUGACUUGGAAGCCUAUCAUGAUAUGAUUGAAGCUCAGAAAGAGAUGCAUUUACAUCCUGAUGAUCAAAACAUUGCUGAUUUGGAACUUUUGGUUGUUUCUGAAUACAAGGUUAAACAUCAGGCAUAUGUAGAGUUUUUGAAACAAAAGGCCAAAGCUGCUUGGUUAAGAGAUGGAGAUGAGAACACUUCUCUUUUUCAUCAAAGUAUUAGGGCUAGGAAUAUUCAGAACCAGGUGUACAGUAUACAAGAUAUGGAUGGUGUGUGGAAAGAUAAGUCAGCUGAUGUUUCUAAAGCUUUUCUGACUUAUUACACUUCUCUGUUGGGUACCACUCAGCCUAAUAGGAAGUCUGUUUUAAGACAAAUUGUUCAAGCAGGUCCUCUUGUAACUGAUCAGCACAAAUGUAUUCUCAAUGCACCUUAUACUGCAGCUGAGGUUAAGAAGGCUUUGGCUUCUAUUCCUGGUGUGAAAGCACCAGUCCCUGAUGGUUUUGGUUCCUUCUUUUACAAAGAUGCAUGGCACAUAGUGCACUAGUAGAAAAAACCCCUGUUGCAGCCCCCUUGUUGCAGCGUACAUGUAUUAAUACGCUUCAAUAACCAGUCGGUCAACGCGGGUCAAACCUUUUAAAGGGUUGUUGCAGCGUACAAUUUAAUUGUUCCCUGCAAAAAAGUUUGUUGCAGCGUACAAUUUAAAAGCCCCCUGCAAUAACCUAUUUUUGUCGCAGCGUACAUUUAAAAGCCCCCUGCAAUAGCCCGGGUCAAAAAAAAAAUUCGCUGCAAUAUUAAAAUUUCAUUUCUCGCGCUUAACUCCCCUCUUCUUCCCUUACCUUUUCCUGCGUAGUCCCCAAAAAAACCCUUCCUGCGUCGCCAUAGCUUACUCGUCGGUGGUUCUGGCCUCCUCGCCAGUCGCCACCUUUAUUCGAAACCCUCUCCUCUUCCAAGAAAAACCACGAGCAGCUAGUGAGCUACCAGCCUACCCUCUCAGUCCUCCCAUCUUCAAUUCUCUGAACUUGUACCUUUCUUUCACGAAAGCCGGCCACCAAGGGUAAGACGGAUUUGUAAUCUCGAAAUUCUGCCGCGUUCACCACCGUCUCACCACCUUCCGAUGGAGAUCCAAUUGGGUUCAACUACCACCGUUUCUCACCAAUCGCGUUUCUCACCACCACCACCACCGCCCGUUUUUCUUCAAAUUUAAGUGAAUUUAUGCACUACGGAGAAUUAGGGAUUUGAGGACGCUUAAUUAUCAGGAUUUCAUCCGCAAACUCUGCACUUAGAUUUUGGGAUAUGGGUUGAGGUUGAUUCUUUUUUGUUAUGCUACUGCUCUUUAAGUAUAGGCAUCGGUAUGCUUCUCUUAUUUCUUCUUUAAGAUUUACAUAAUUUUUAGUGUUGAUUGAAGUUGGAUUUGCUGAUUGUUAGAGGUUUUAGUAAUCUUGUAUGAUAUAGUAAUUUAUGGCAGAUAUGAACUAUUUAAGUUUUGUUAACCAUCAUUUUGCCUUUAAUCUCUUUGAAGAAGUUAAAAUAAAAUAAGACUUAAAGUUUUAGUUAGGGAACGAUUAGAGCUGAGAAAUACCAUGUUUAUCAAGUAAUACUGUCAUUUGAUGGGAAUUAGGAUGUUCACUUCAUAUUAUUAGAAGAAUUGAAUCCAUCUUUACUAAAAUUCUUCUUUCAUUGAGAUGUUAAUGUCUCAGGAUUGAAUAUAGCUUUGCAAUUUCACUACAAUAGUAUAGAUUUGUGAUAAUUUGGGUUUCAUUGUUCAACACCAGCAAAGCAAAUGGAGAGGCGUCGAGAUUAGGUUUCAGAAAUUGAUGGUGUUUUUAAUGAUUAAAUAAGACAGCUGGUGUUGGAAAUGUUGCUGGAGUUGGAACUCAUUCCUGUACUGAAUGUGUUUCUGAAUGUGCUGCUAAAUGUGGAUUUCUGAUUGGAAGAACUGUGGCUGUUUUGAUAACUAUGACGAUUGGGACCUCGAUGGCUGCUCGUCAAGGUCCUCUAGCUAUGGCUGCUCAUCAAAUCUGUAUGCAAGUGUGGUUGGCUGUCUCUCUUUUAACUGAUGGAUUGGCCGCAUCUGGUCAGGUCUACACUCCGAGGAUUGCGCCUUAUGCGAGGAAUUUGAUGUGGUUCGUGAGCAAUGGGCUAAGUUUUUUACCAACAAGUAUUUAUUAUUGGCUUUAGCGCGCUUGAUCGAGUUGGUUUAGUUGUUAUAGAAUAAAUUUUAUAUUAAAAUGUAUGUUUAUGUUGAAAUUGGAACAUAUAUUUAAAUGUAAUAUGUGCACUUUGGUUUUGGGAUAUAUAGUAUACAAAA